Aegilops tauschii subsp. strangulata is the source of this 1425-nucleotide long non-coding RNA. RefSeq lists it as uncharacterized. The record is from RefSeq and is a predicted model, not a curated record. NCBI's taxonomy places the organism in Eukaryota, Viridiplantae, Streptophyta, Magnoliopsida, Poales, Poaceae.
GCCUAGCGCCGGCGCGGAUCGAUAUCUCGGUGGCCCGCGUGGCGUGCGGCCACGUGGGUCGCGCGGCAUACGUUUGCGUGUAAUUCGCAAACCGCCGAGCAGCCGACGGCCACGCGAUGGCUACGGGUGGACGGUGGUCCAGUCCAGCCCAACGGAAGUGCGCCCCAGCCCCGGAGUGGCCGGAAAAUGACGGCGCCCCGUUCGCCGAUUCGAAACGGUUUCAUGUCGCUUAUGAGACUCAACUAAUUAGUACUUCCUCCGUUUCAAAAUAAAUGACCCAACUUUAUACUAACUUAGUAUAAAAUUGAGUCAUCUAUUUUGAAACGAAGGGAAUAAUGGCUUAGACACGCCCAGGCCCGGCCCCUCCUGAGGGGGGCAGGGGGGCCCGCCGAAUCCAGGGGCUCCUCCCCAGAUAGCCUUUGGGCUUGCGCUAAGAAAACCAUGGGCCGUGGCCAGAAGUGGACGCCGGAAGACGUAUCGAGGCCUUCCUAUUCCUUUCCUAUUCUUGCGAUUCGAUUCCUUCAGGUUCCAUCACGUAGCCAUCCUCAAAUCACGCGGCAUACCUAAUUCCAAGUUUCGAACCUGCAUACACCGCCGCCGUCACUUCGCGAAAAAUCAAGGAGGAGAAAUGCGGAGUAGCAGCCCUCCUGUUCGCGAUAAGAACUUGCGUCCCUGCUCAUUUUCUUCAAAUUCCGUUCCUAAUUCUGAUCAGCAGUAUGUCGUCUCGCCGAUUUCUAUUCCGGGGCCUCCCAAUCGCUCGAGUGUCUAGCCACUAUUCAGAACGUGCUUUGCUCUCUCACCUUGGGCACUGGACAAGCACACGCACAUCAUCGCUGAUCCAUCGAGCUCUAGAGCCAGACGCGAACGAGUACAAAUCGCUGAAUGCCCGAUGGCCGAUGCCGACUCAUCCAAGUGCAUCUGACAGUGUCAUCAGUUGAAAGACGAAGAUUUUCAAAGUUAAAAUUAUCAAUGAACUAUCUGAGGUCAAGAAUGACUAAUGAGAAUUUUAAGGGCUUGGCAUCAAUAUGCGUCAAGAAGAAAUUAUUGGAAGAGAUUGACAUGGACCUCAUCAGAAGUGACUUUGCAUUGAAAAGUGAUAUAAUUUUUUAAGGAUGCUCGAACCAGGAUGGUACUCCACCGAUGUGACAGCCCCGACGAGCUCUAUCCGGUGCAUUCGCCUUCAUCUGCCACCACCGCACCGGUUGCUCUCUCCGCUGGCGUCGAUCUCUGGCACGCUCGUUUGGGUCAUCCCAACCCCGUCACACUUCGUCAUAUUAUUAGGAGUUUCAGUUGUAAUAAGAUAGAGGAUCACACAUGUCAUGCCUGUCGUGUCGGCAAACAUUUUCGCCUUCCGUUUAAUAACUCCACCACCAUUGCUUCUUUUCCCUUUCAGUUGAUUCAUAGCGAUGUGCGGACCUCUCCGGU